Molecule: ribosomal RNA, 301 nt
Filed under: uncultured bacterium
Lineage: Bacteria
Description: partial 16S ribosomal RNA
Rfam family: Bacterial small subunit ribosomal RNA
Source: RNAcentral
CAGUCGCCACGGGAAUACGGAGGGGGCUAGCGUUGUUCGGAAUUACUGGGCGUAAAGCGCACGUAGGCGGCUUUGUAAGUUAGAGGUGAAAGCCUGGAGCUCAACUCCAGAAUUGCCUUUAAGACUGCAUCGCUUGAAUCGCGGAGAGGUGAGUGGAAUUCCGAGUGUAGAGGUGAAAUUCGUAGAUAUUCGGAAGAACACCAGUGGCGAAGGCGGCUCACUGGACGCGUAUUGACGCUGAGGUGCGAAAGCGUGGGGAGCAAACAGGAUUAGAUACCCCCGUAGUCCCUGUCUCUUAUAC